Molecule: long non-coding RNA, 1126 nt
Organism: Chelonia mydas (Green sea turtle)
Lineage: Eukaryota; Metazoa; Chordata; Testudines; Cheloniidae
Exons: 5
Source: RefSeq, a predicted model, not a curated record
AGGUAACAGCUCACUCCUCCCUUUGCUCAGAGGCAGCGAUUUUGGAAGACAAGAUGGCUGCCUGCCCUCAGAAGGAAGAUUUACACUCUAGGGUGGAAUAAUUGCUCAAAAAACAGACAAGAAGAAGAAACAACAACCUGUCUCCGAGGCCUAGAGUUACCCAGAUAUGCAGCACGGUGCAUGGGAGAACAGUCCCACGGGGCCAUGCCAGUGUCUGGGAAAACUCACUCCUGAGAGGGAGAGAGGCUGCUCCAAGCCCCUGGAAAUAUGGGCAGAGGUGGGGCCUGCAGCUGGCAAAUGCUGACUGGCAAAGUCUGGCACCAACCAAGUGAGUAAAGAUGACGCUGAAGACUCAGGCCUGGACAAGAGGGAUAGUCAAAUAGUGAAGAGAGUCCAGAGGGAUUCACAUCCAGGAAAGAAAAGGCUCGGAGUCAAAGCAGAGUCCAAGGUUUGGCUGAACCACUUCACAUCGUCCUCUCAAUUUCCUCUGAGACUGAACCAGACAAAACAAACGGCACUGGGAAGGGGGGACUCCCUGUUCCACUGGAAUCCUUGGGCAGGGGGUUGUUUCCAAAUUCCUGGCUGGAUCUGCACUCCAGAUCCAUUCCCUCCAGCAGGGGAAAGUGUCACGUUUCCACAGAUGUUACCAAAUACUUUUGUUACCUUUAAAAAAAACCAAUGGAAUGUGACCAUUAUAGGAGAGCAAGAACAGCUCUCCCAGGGGCCUAUAGGGUUCCUGCCUCUGCUGCAUGGCAGGGAGGUACAAAAGCCCUAACCUUGUUUGGCAGCUGGGGCUUUUAGUGAGCAGCUUUGCUUUGAGAAGAGAAAUAAUGGAGCUGGAACGCUGAUCCCUUCUCUCUGCCACCCCAGGCACCUAUGACCGCUGUAGGAUGCAUCCAGAGCAAUUAGCAGUAGCAUCCGGCUCCUGGGCAGGGCUGAUGGAGAACCUAGGCUGGAACCCCCAAUGACCAUUCCCUUUAGUGUUGGAUACAUGGCUGGUGAAUCCAUAGGCUGUUGCACAGUCUAUUGUAGGAGUGAGGAGCUGCCAAGUGGGGGUGAGUGACAGAAAAAACCCCAGCCCUCUCUGUACAGCUGGGAUUUUCAGCAUCUCUUUUUGCUUCUGCCU